AGUAUGAUAAGCUAAAUUAAGCUAUUGGGCCCAUACCCCAAAAAUGAAGGUUAAAAUCCCUCUCCUACUA
This 70-nucleotide transfer RNA is filed under the name Paracheirodon axelrodi (cardinal tetra). RNAcentral describes it as "tRNA-Met". It matches the Rfam family "tRNA". Rfam says of the family: Transfer RNA (tRNA) molecules are approximately 80 nucleotides in length. Their secondary structure includes four short double-helical elements and three loops (D, anti-codon, and T loops). The record is from RNAcentral. Lineage: Eukaryota; Metazoa; Chordata; Actinopteri; Characiformes; Acestrorhamphidae.